GACGAACCGUGCGAACGUUGUUCGGAAUCACUGGGCUUAAAGAGUUCGUAGGCGGUCCGUCAAGUGGGGUGUGAAAGCCCUCGGCUCAACCGAGGAAUUGCGCUCCAAACUGUCGGGCUCGAGGGAGAUAGAGGUGAGCGGAACUGAUGGUGGAGCGGUGAAAUGCGUUGAUAUCAUCAGGAACACCAGAGGCGAAGGCGGCUCACUGGGUCUCUUCUGACGCUGAGGAACGAAAGCGUGGGGAGCGAACAGG
This 253-nucleotide ribosomal RNA is filed under the name uncultured bacterium. Its description in RNAcentral is "partial 16S ribosomal RNA". It matches the Rfam family "Bacterial small subunit ribosomal RNA", at positions 524 to 776 of the family's 1533-position model. The record is from RNAcentral.